Molecule: ribosomal RNA, 301 nt
Filed under: uncultured bacterium
Lineage: Bacteria
Description: partial 16S ribosomal RNA
Rfam family: Bacterial small subunit ribosomal RNA
Source: RNAcentral
CAGCCGCCACGGGAAUACGUAGGUGGCAAGCGUUGUCCGGAAUUAUUGGGCGUAAAGGGCUCGCAGGCGGUUUCUUAAGUCUGAUGUGAAAGCCCCCGGCUCAACCGGGGAGGGUCAUUGGAAACUGGGAAACUUGAGUGCGGAAGAGGAGAGUGGAAUUCCACGUGUAGCGGUGAAAUGCGUAGAGAUGUGGAGGAACACCAGUGGCGAAGGCGACUCUCUGGUCUGUAACUGACGCUGAGGAGCGAAAGCGUGGGGAGCGAACAGGAUUAGAUACCCGCGUAGUCCCUGUCUCUUAUAC